AAACCGGGACUGCCUCAGUAACGGCGAGUGAAGCGGCAAAAGCUCAAAUUUGAAAUCCCCCGGGAAUUGUAAUUUGAAGAGAUUUGGGUCCGGCCGGCGGGGGUUAAGUCCACUGGAAAGUGGCGCCACAGAGGGUGACAGCCCCGUGAACCCCUUCAACGCCCUCAUCCCAGAUCUCCAAGAGUCGAGUUGUUUGGGAAUGCAGCUCUAAGUGGGUGGUAAAUUCCAUCUAAAGCUAAAUACCGGCGAGAGACCGAUAGCGAACAAGUACAGUGAUGGAAAGAUGAAAAGCACUUUGAAAAGAGAGUGAAAAAGUACGUGAAAUUGUUGAAAGGGAAGGGCUUGCAAGCAGACACUUAACUGGGCCAGCAUCGGGGCGGCGGGAAACAAAACCACCGGGGAAUGUACCUUUCGAGGAUUAUAACCCCGGUCUUUAUUUCCUUGUUGCCCCGAGGCCUGCAAUCUAAGGAUGCUGGCGUAAUGGUUGCAAGUCGCCCGUCUUGAACCACCGGACCA
Molecule: ribosomal RNA, 516 nt
Filed under: Metschnikowia aff. fructicola S1-44
Lineage: Eukaryota; Fungi; Ascomycota; Pichiomycetes; Serinales; Metschnikowiaceae
Description: eukaryotic LSU rRNA
Rfam family: Eukaryotic large subunit ribosomal RNA
Source: RNAcentral